AUAGUGGUGACAGCAGUUGUAAUGGUGAUGUUAUGGCAGAGACAUGGCUAUGGUAGUACUAAUGGGGCGGAGGUGAUAGCAGCAAUGGUUGCAAUGCUUGUGGCGUCAGUGCGGGCUACAAGACAAAAGCAGUAAUGGCAACGAUGAUGGUGACAAAGGCAGAAAUGAUGGUGAACAUGGCACCGUGGUAGCAGAGGCGGAGACAGUAACAAUAGUUAUAGUAAAAUAGUAAAAUAAAUGAGUUUCUUGUUUUUGAGAACAUUAAAAGUACGGAUUUCUUCCUUUCAUUUUUCUAGAAAUAAUAAAAAAAACUUUUGAAAAAUAGAAAAUAAAAACAAUAAUACCAAGAUAAGUUUUUUGACUUGGUUUUUAUAAUUGUCUUUAAACCUAAAAAAACAAGAAAUAAAAGCCAUGCCAAGCAAGCCCUUAGUCAUUCGCUGUUGACUAUAAUAACAUGGUUGAAGACUAAACAAAAAGGAACAUUAGGCAAAUAUUGUAGUAUCUGGGUUUGUGAUGGAUGGUUGUAAACAUGUAAAUUCCAGCACUCACCAAUUUUCGUCAAGUUUGAAAACUUAUAGGCUUUUCUCUCUUCAUUUGUGCAUGUUCUAGGGAAGGGCAAGAAUAGAUUAAGGUGGCUCUUGGUGACCAAAAUGAGAUCACUAUGGUGAUCCUCAUCCCGAGUAUUGUGUUUGGUAUGUUAUGUUCCAGUAAUUAAAGAUCCCUAUGUAUCCACGAUUAACCUACUUGGUAGGUAAAAUCAAAACCACCUCAAUAUAUUCCAUAUAUUUUGCAACUAUUAAACAGAAGUCUCAAAUAAAUCCUAGGAAAACACACAUGAAUAUAAAUCAAAUUAUCAAAACAUGUUAUUCCAAACCAAAUCAACAAGACUAAAAGUUAAUUAAAACCUGUCAAGAUAACUCUAGGGGAUUAUCCAACCUUCUCAACUAGAAUUUUUUUUUAUGGAAUUAUCAACCCCUUCUCAGCUAGGACUUUUUUCCAGAGACCGGCAUUUUUUGAAACAAUUUUUCCUCCUGGACCGAGGGGCACGUUUGUCCCCAAAUUUCAGCCCAAAUCAACAACACCUAAAAACAUGUCCUCCAAGAUGGGUUUAACAUCACUGAGUUGGGUGGUGAUUUUAGGAGUGAGGUUGACUCGGGAUCUUUGCCACGUAAAAUCACUAGGAUGCAACCCGGAAAUCUUGUCACUUCCACCCCCAUCACCGUUGAUCUUGGGGUCAUCACCCAUACAAAACACCACCUAAGAGAUAUUUUAGACAUGUUUGAUAUUUAAAUGAAGGGAUGUUGUCCCAUGCAGCAUAUUUUAUGCUUGCUCUCAAUUCCUUUAGCGAGAAAUAGCGUAAAUCUGAUGAAUUAACAUAGUUGAGUUUCAGUCGGAACAAAAAUAACUGAUUGAUCCAAGAAAUACUACGUUAUAAUUUAGAUUGGAUUGCCUUCCAUGUUGUUAUGAUUUUUUUACUUCAUCUCCGCCCCCCCUCAAAAAAAAUAAAUAAAUAAAUAAAUAAAAGAAAAGAAAAAUAAAAGAUAUUUUUUAGAAAAGAAAAGGUUGGAUGUUUAGUUCAAUGAUUCAAAGUAUGCUAUAAAAUUGAAUCUCCAUAAUUAUAUGGUUCAAAAAUUCCUAGUUUUUCUUAUUAUAAUGACAUUUGCACAGAUUAUGAGAAUUAAAAUAUUUCCAAUUUUAUAUGUUUAACACUGAGAAGAGCACACAUCGUAAGAGAUUAGUUUACAGUUUGAGAUUGUUGUUCCUAAGGAAUUCCCCUUCUCCCCUGAACCGCAAUACACUCAUAGGACUUCAAAAUCUGCCUAAACAGCUUGACCUAUCUAAGACUUGAAGAAACCCAAAUAACAUAAUACCAAGGUAUUGAGCUGUUUUUGCCCAAUGGCACAUAACUUGUUCCUGCCUACUUAGCUUUAACUCUCUCUUCAACACAUACCUGUGGUGAAUUUCGUUGCCCUCUGGCAGUACUAUCUGUAACUUACCAAUAACUCCACUCUGUCAUGACCCAGCUAGAGCAGUUCAGUUAUAUACAUUCUCCAUUUCUGAGAUUGCAUCAAGUCCUAUUGCACUUGCAACAAUCACUUCAACUAACAAAUUACAGUGAAUAAUAUGAUAAAUCAGAAUUUUUUUGGGAAAAGGAAGCCAGUAGUGCUAUGGGGCUUGUGUGAAUAAAAUUUUGUCAAAGGAUAGAAGAACUGGCAUGCUGAUACAGCGACACCAAUAAAGCAAUGACCAAAGAAAAUUUCUGUAAUCCUGUUGUUUAUGCUCAAAAGGCAAUGUAACCACAAAGGCAAUGUAACCACAAAGGUUGACAGAUAUCACCCAUGCUGCAUAACUUGGUUAGAAUAUCAAAAUGAACAAAGGAAAAAAAAAUCAUACAAGUGAAAAUUUUUCAGCCAUGCCCCAAUUUCCAUCUGCAUUCCAGGCAGUACCUGAUGAGCUAGUGAUUAUCAAUUUUUGCAGCAUAUCCUCCCAGCUCUCACCUAUAAACUGGGAAACAACUCUAGGCAGUCUAAAUUAAUAAAGAAAAAAAGGAAAAACAUAAGAGUUGCUGAGAAAAUGAAUAUUUACCCAACCUGAUAACAGUAUAACCACAAGGGUUGCUCCAAAGAGUGAUGGCCAGAAACAUCACCAAGCAUCCAUCGCAAUCAAAAAUGUAUAGAAUAGCACAAUAAGAUGGUAGCAACAUUGACAAUAAUGAAAUAUUAAGCAGUUAGAGAACUAGAUAAUCAGCCAGAGAACAAAAGUCAUAUAACAGGUCUCAUAUAAGAAACAUCAUGAAAUAACUAGUAAACAGCCCCAAAAGAAGUUCCAGAUGAGAGCAGACAGGGAGAAGACUAGUAUCUUGGCGCACUGGUUGCAGAAAAGCCCUCUGCAUGAGAAAGAAAUCCAAAACCACAGAAAAAUUGUAACUGUCAAGCAACAGAUGUAUCAAGUACAUAAAUUUGCCACUUUGAAAACGAUCAGUUUUUUUGAGCCCGCAGUCUCUGCAAUGGUCAUAAGAGUACAGCAAGGUUAAAGAUGUGAGUCCCAAACUUCCAACUAGAUGAGCAAGAGGAAAUAAAUCAGGUUGACAAUAGCUCCAAGAAACCUCAAGCCUGCCAAAAAAUGUAAUAAUCACCAGCAUCCAAGUUAAGAAAUGCCAAAACAUGAAUGCAACCAAAUAAAAAAAAGUGCUAGACAGGGCAAGUAUUAGGCCAUGAAAAGAAAAUGAAGCAAAUGGAAGCACGGCACAGCUGUUUCCAGACAGACUUGGCUGAAAUAUCUCCUGUUCAAUAAGAAAACAAAAAUGUCGAAUGCUAUUACAAUCAAGAACAUACACUUAUGAAACACUUCAUAUGCAGCAUGGUUUUUGCCCAGUUUAUGUUCUUCAUGAGUCCACUUGAGUUUACGAAAUCCAUAAGUCUUACAAAGACAUAGGCUGACCAAAAUUUAGUAAUGUCACAUAAUCAAUUUUUGCAAUUAAUCAUGACCUCGCUAUGAUAUCUAAGAAAGAGCAAGUAGCAGCAAGAUGAAGCC
RNAcentral lists this long non-coding RNA (3534 nucleotides) under Phoenix dactylifera (date palm). RNAcentral describes it as "long non-coding RNA (PDAC_LNC004564)". The record is from RNAcentral. Lineage: Eukaryota; Viridiplantae; Streptophyta; Magnoliopsida; Arecales; Arecaceae.